ACAGCAGUCGCCGCGGUAAUACAGAGGAUGCAAGCGUUAUCCGGAAUGAUUGGGCGUAAAGCGUCUGUAGGUGGCUUUUCAAGUCCGCCGUCAAAUCCCAGGGCUCAACCCUGGACAGGCGGUGGAAACUACCAAGCUGGAGUACGGUAGGGGCUGAGGGAAUUUCCGGUGGAGCGGUGAAAUGCGCUGAGAUCGGAAAGAACACCAACGGCGAAAGCACUCUGCUGGGCCGACACUGACACUGAGAGACGAAAGCUAGGGGAGCAAAUGGGAUUAGAUACCCCCGUAGUCCCUGUCUCUUAUAC
Molecule: ribosomal RNA, 305 nt
Filed under: uncultured bacterium
Lineage: Bacteria
Description: partial 16S ribosomal RNA
Rfam family: Bacterial small subunit ribosomal RNA
Source: RNAcentral